GUCUGCUUUGGCAGCACACAUGCUGAAAUUGUACUGUACUGAGAAGAUUAGCGUGGUCCCUGCACAGGGAUGAUAUGCAAAUUUGCGAGGUAUUCCGUUAAAAA
Molecule: small nuclear RNA, 104 nt
Organism: Hyaena hyaena (striped hyena)
Lineage: Eukaryota; Metazoa; Chordata; Mammalia; Carnivora; Hyaenidae
Source: RefSeq, a predicted model, not a curated record